UUCUAAAGAAUAUAUAGUAAUAUGGUACCUAAAUGUGGGAUUCUGUAACGCCCCAAAAAUGAAAACUCAAUAAAACAAGUGAGGACAAAUAACUGUAAUGCCCCAAAAUCUAAUAGUUGAUAAAUAAGGCAUUUACUAGAAUUAUGUGUGAAAUAACUUAACUAGGAUUAGUUAACCUAGUUUGUGUUUCUAUGUUAGUUACAAGAAGGAAAUAAAUAAAUUAUCAAAACUACAAGGGUUGAACUUGUACAUUUUAAUUAAAGUUUGGUUAAGUAGUGGAAGAUCACAAACAUCAGACAUAAGUCUGAUGUUGGUGUCGAUGCAAGCCAAGGGCCAAGAAGGGUUUCUCAUGAUGAUGAAAUGUUGAAGAAUUGAAGCAAAAUCCAGCCUUAAUUCUCUUGCAUGUGUAGAGAUUCUACAUCAAAAAGCUAUAUGAAACAUGUGUAUAGGGAUCAUGUCGAGAUGGAUGGAAGCAUAAAGGACUAACGGGUCAUGAGGACAUGAGGAAACGAGAGCGAAUAGGGAUGCAUAAGUGCAGGUUUAUGAAUAUCGGACUUUCGAAGUGUCGAUAUAGUAAUGAAAUGAUUGAGUGUUGGAAGAUAUUCGGGUUGAAGUAACUUAAGCGGUUAGAAUAUUCUAUGGACGUUUUAGUUUAUACAAUAUUUUAUGUUUGGUCGUCACCACCUACUAACAGGUUAGUUAUAUGAGAAUAUAUGUGAUACCCAUUUAAUUGGGAAAUCGAAUGCGUAAGAGAAAUGAGAGUAUGUACAUGAAUGGAAUUAAAAUGACGGUUUUAUAAGCAAACAAGUAUAGCGACUAACUUUUUAAAGCUUUGUUGUUGAAUGUAGGUAAACCCUCAAUUCAGGCGACUUGGAGAAUCGGAACGAGCGCGUGUUCAUGUUAUGUCAUACCAAACGCUUCCGCUAGCUUGUUCAAAUGUUUUUUUUUAGUCCAAAAUUUGUUGUAUUGGUUCUUAGUAGUAUUUUGUCGAAUGAAUCGUAGAAUUAUAACUAGUUUGAUUAUGUUUAAAACAGGGGAAUGCUCGUUUUAUGGACGGGUCAUGCCCAAUUUUUGUUAAAUUA
This is a long non-coding RNA of Helianthus annuus (common sunflower), 1082 nucleotides long. RefSeq lists it as uncharacterized. The record is from RefSeq and is a predicted model, not a curated record. NCBI's taxonomy places the organism in Eukaryota, Viridiplantae, Streptophyta, Magnoliopsida, Asterales, Asteraceae. The transcript has 3 exons.